CCUACGGGAGGCAGCAGUGGGGAAUAUUGGACAAUGGGCGAAAGCCUGAUCCAGCAAUGCCGCGUGAGUGAUGAAGGCCUUCGGGUCGUAAAGCUCUUUUACCAGGGAUGAUAAUGACAGUACCUGGAGAAUAAGCUCCGGCUAACUCCGUGCCAGCAGCCGCGGUAAUACGGAGGGAGCUAGCGUUGUUCGGAAUUACUGGGCGUAAAGAGUACGUAGGCGGUUAUUCAAGUCAGAGGUGAAAGCCCGGGGCUCAACCCCGGAACUGCCUUUGAAACUAGAUAACUAGAGUCUUGGAGAGGUUAGUGGAAUUCCGAGUGUAGAGGUGAAAUUCGUAGAUAUUCGGAAGAACACCAGUGGCGAAGGCGACUAACUGGACAAGUACUGACGCUGAGGUACGAAAGCGUGGGGAGCAAACAGGAUUAGAUACCCUGGUAGUCCACGCCGUAAACGAUGAUAACUAGUUGUUCGGUCACUUGGUGACUGAGUGACGCAGCUAACGCAUUAAGUUAUCCGCCUGGGGAUACGGUCGCAAGNUUAAAACUCAAAUGAAUUGACGGNUGAGAGUUGCGAGCGACACGAGGGAGGAGG
This 591-nucleotide ribosomal RNA is filed under the name uncultured bacterium. RNAcentral's name for it is "bacterial SSU rRNA". It matches the Rfam family "Bacterial small subunit ribosomal RNA", at positions 338 to 944 of the family's 1533-position model. The record is from RNAcentral.